This 97-nucleotide signal recognition particle RNA is filed under the name Candidatus Pelagibacter sp. Its description in RNAcentral is "signal recognition particle sRNA small type". It matches the Rfam family "Bacterial small signal recognition particle RNA". Rfam says of the family: The signal recognition particle (SRP) is a universally conserved ribonucleoprotein involved in the co-translational targeting of proteins to membranes. The record is from RNAcentral. Lineage: Bacteria; Pseudomonadati; Pseudomonadota; Alphaproteobacteria; Candidatus Pelagibacterales; Candidatus Pelagibacteraceae.
GGAGGCUGGCAAUAGGUGGAAUUUUUUGUAAACCGUGUCAGAAUCGAAAGAUGGCAGCACUAACAAGAAUAUUUCAGGUUGUUGUUCAGUCUCCUUU